ACUACAAAUCUUUACUUAUUUUUGGCAUUAGUUCACUCUUAACUUUUUUCCCACUUGCAGUUAUAAGAAGUUGAUGUCUCUGAAAACAGCUGAUACUGAUAUAAGACCGAAGAUCAGUUUAAAAUUUAAUACAAAAGUUUCAGAUAUUCUUCUGCGUCUUGGGAUGAAGCAAGAAGAUAUUGACAAAGUGAAGGAGAAUCCCAUUGAGAAUAUUUCCCUUGAUUACCAUCAGCUAUCCAUCUACCUAGGCAUACCAGUACCAGAAAUCAUCCAAAGAAUGCUAUCCUGCUAUCAACAAGGAAUUGCUCUACAGUCAAUAACAGGCAGUCAACGUAUUGAACUAGAAGAGUUACAGAAUGAGGAAGAAGACCUAAGUCCACCACUUAUGGAAUACAAUAUAAAUGUGAAAUCAAACUCUGAAAUACAGUUAGCAGAAAUGAAUAAAGAUGGAGCCUCUAUACCCAGUGAAUCUUCAACAGAAUCUAUUAAAGAUCUCCAAGAAGUAUAAGCUUUCAUUAAUAGUUGAAUUUUAAAAACUUACUCUGGGCCUUUAGUUGUUGCAUUAAAGCAUCUCAGAUGAUUUUAUAUAAUCCUUAUUAUGGGCUUUCCCCAGAACUCGAAUUAGAAUAUUUCUUUCUUUACUAUUUUCUUCCAUAGUCUUUCCUUCUGUAACCAUUUCUCUCACCAACAUGCAUUGAACACUUACUAUGAACCAGGCAUUAUGCUGAGUUUCUGAGACUAUUUCUUCAUCCUAAUAGAAGUAGAUGUGGGAGGGUAGUAGAAAGAAAGUAUAGUAAGGAAUAGAGGAGAGGAAAAGAGAAAACUGGGAAAUUUCAGUGCCACUUGCAUAGAGGUAGAAUUAAAUCAUUUAGGAUGAAAUCUCCACAUUUGUUACCCGUAAGUGGCAACAGUUACUAUAAAGGCCCUCAUUUCUUCUUGAGCUUAAUCUUUCAUGGUGGACAUGAAAAUGUUGUUCUUUCAAAACUUCCCACCUCCUUUUGUUACUCAUGUGCAUGUGUGUAAGUAAAUACUCUUCAACAUUUUUCCUUAGCCUACUUAUUGAUAGUAUUGCUGGUUCUUUAUAUGUCUGAUUUUUCAAAGGCAGAAAACUAAGAUAAAAAAUAAAAAUUAAUUUUUUCAUAAAAUCUAGAAAGAUAUAUGACCUAUAGUUCCAGAAGACAAAAGAUAUUAGUCUUUAGGAAAAACACUUUACAAACCACUCAUUAUAUAGCUUGAAUUGUAUAUUAACAUAUGAUUUCUUUCUUAUCUAUUAGGCAAAAAGUAAGCCGAAGAAAAAGAAAAAAAUGAAGACUAAAAAGGUAAGAGUACAUAUAAAUAUUAUAAUAGAAGAAUAUCUGAUUAUAACAUUUGAGUUUAAUUAUGUAC
RNAcentral lists this long non-coding RNA (1386 nucleotides) under Cavia porcellus (domestic guinea pig). RNAcentral describes it as "lncRNA (ENSCPOG00000040573.1)". Lineage: Eukaryota; Metazoa; Chordata; Mammalia; Rodentia; Caviidae. The record is from RNAcentral.